AUUGGCUGCUGUGUUUGCACACUCUUCACCCUGCUCCUGCCCACUCUGCUUGUCACCUGCCCCCUGAUAACCCCAUCACUCCUGAAAGAUCCUUAGUGCCUGGAUUUUGUCAUCCAGCCCUGCAGGAUGCCCCCAUUUGUCCUGAGGAAGGCUGUCCCAGACGGAGAGGAGGAGAUGGAGGUGGAUACAGAGAUUGAUAGAGAGGAGGACAUGGAGAUGAAGGGAGAAGGCACUGGAGAGGAGGAGAUGGAGGUGGAGGUGGAGGUGGAAGAGGAGAUGGAAGUGGAUAUGGAAGAGUCCAUUGAGGACAUGGACAUUGAUUGAAAAGGUGCAAAGUCCAGAUGGAUUUCAAUGAAGAAUGUGUAACUCUAUCAAGAGCAAGAGAAACGUUGACCAUUCAACAAGCAAAGAAGACAGAUAUUGGACAUGCUGUCUCAAGAUGUACAAAGUGUAAAUCAUGCAGUAUUGCAGAAUAGAGCAGCAAUGUAUGCUAUAGGGAUAUUAGGUGUAAUAGUAUUGCUAAUGCUGUAUUACCAUGCUUGCUUAAUUGCGUCCAAAGAAUAGUGAGUCAGAUGAUGGGAAGGGCUUGGAAAACAACACUUCUGGCCCAAAAAGAAAAUGGGGGAAAUGUUGGGAGCUUUGUAACAAGCUAGCUCCGAGCUAAAGGUCACUGUGAGAUUAAUUUGACCGAGAUAGAGAAUGAGGGGAGUUGCCAUUCCAACUAAACUGUGUCCUUGGCCCACGGAUGAAGAAAUGCACAGACACAGGUGGUAAAGCCAAACAGCCUGGGAAAGUAGUAAGUAGUUAUACCAAAACAGCACGUAGAUAGCUGAUAACUAAUUAGCCAAUGGUGAGCUGGGAUUUGCACUAUGCAUGAGCUAAUUAAAAGGUGUAUAAUAAUUGGCGAUUCGGGAAUAAAGACGAGACUUGUCGAUCAUCAUAUGGUGAGCGAGUCUUCCUUCUCCAUCAGUUCUGCCCUCUUCCUGAUGAUGCUGUGCAC
Long non-coding RNA from Passer domesticus (house sparrow), 1000 nucleotides. RefSeq lists it as uncharacterized. The transcript has 3 exons. The record is from RefSeq and is a predicted model, not a curated record. NCBI's taxonomy places the organism in Eukaryota, Metazoa, Chordata, Aves, Passeriformes, Passeridae.